GACGAACGCUGGCGGCGUGCUUAACACAUGCAAGUCGAGCGGAGCGGCGCACGGGUGAGUAACGCGUAGUAACCUGCCCACCUCUCUGGGAUAACAGUUGGAAACGGCUCCUAAUACCGGUAUGUGGGGGAUGGACUCGCGUCCUAUCAGCUAGUUGGUGGGGUAAAGGCCUACCAAGGCGACGAUCCGUAACUGGGUUGAGAGGAUGAUCAGUCACACUGGAACUGAGACACGGUCCAGACUCCUACGGGAGGCAGCAGUGGGGAAUAGUGGACAAUGGUCGAAAGCCUGAUCCAGCCAUGCCGCGUGUGUGAAGAAGGUCGUCGGAUUGUAAAGCUCUUUAAGGUGGGAGGCGUUACCAACAGAAGAAGCACCGGCUAACUUCGUGCCAGCCGCCGCGGUAAUAC
Molecule: ribosomal RNA, 407 nt
Filed under: uncultured bacterium
Lineage: Bacteria
Description: partial 16S ribosomal RNA
Rfam family: Bacterial small subunit ribosomal RNA
Source: RNAcentral